GUAAUACAUCGGAACGUACCCAGUAGUGGGGGAUAACGUAGCGAAAGCUACGCUAAUACCGCAUACGAACUACGGUUGAAAGCGGGGGAUCGCAAGACCCCGCGCUAUUGGAGCGGCCGAUGGCAGAUUAGCUAGUUGGUAGGGUAAAAGCCUACCAAGGCGACGAUCUGUAGCUGGUCUGAGAGGACGACCAGCCACACUGGGACUGAGACACGGCCCAGACUCCUACGGGAGGCAGCAGUGGGGAAUUUUGGACAAUGGGGGAAACCCUGAUCCAGCAAUGCCGCGUGUGUGAAGAAGGCCUUCGGGUUGUAAAGCACUUUUGGCAGGAACGAAACGGCUUGGGUUAAUACCUCGGGCUAAUGACGGUACCUGCAGAAUAAGCACCGGCUAACUACGUGCCAGCAGCCGCGGUAAUACGUAGGGAGCAAGCGUUAAUCGGAAUUACUGGGCGUAAAGCGAGCGCAGGCGGUUAUGUAAGACAGAUGUGAAAUCCCCGGGCUUAACCUGGGAACUGCAUUUGUGACUGCAUGGCUAGAGUGCGUCAGGGGGGGGUGGAAUUCCACGUGUAGCAGUGAAAUGCGUAGAGAUGUGGAGGAACACCGAUGGCGAAGGCAGCCCCCUGGGAUGACACUGACGCUCAUGCU
This 647-nucleotide ribosomal RNA is filed under the name uncultured bacterium. RNAcentral describes it as "bacterial SSU rRNA". It matches the Rfam family "Bacterial small subunit ribosomal RNA", at positions 110 to 753 of the family's 1533-position model. The record is from RNAcentral.